UCACACCUCUAUCAGAUACUAUCGUGUAAAUAUUGGCUAUAAAUUAUCAUGUCUAAAGCAUAAAUUUCAACAUUAUAUUCUGUCUGUGUUGGGGAUUCUCUUAGUUUAAGAAAGUGUGGAACAAAUAAAAAGUAAGCUUAUAUUUGCUAUUUGUGAAGAUAAACAACUUUAGAUCACCAAUAAUAACUAUAAACGAAGGCAGUACAGGUUUCACAUAUCCCGUGGGAAUGAAGUGAAAAGCCGAGGGUAUUUUAAAGUACAAACACCGGGAACUACAGAGGUUAUUUCUAUCCCGGAUAUUGGGAUGUUAACUGCAAUGCAGCUGAGAUCCGUUCCGGGGCUGAUAAAUACCACAUUACUAAUCUGUAGUCUAAAUCUUUCCGGGAUCUCCCAUCUGUAUGAUAUACACGUCAAUUUCGACAUAGUGUUGCUUGUUGCUUAUCACUGACAUCAGGAUGGUAAUUUGUUUUUUGCAAAUACACACACACACUACACUUGUUUUGUUUUUUUCUCAUUCCUUUUCAAGACAUCUUCUUGCAUGUAUGAGCACGGGAUGCACAUUGACAUUUCUCCUCCGUGGUACAUGCUUGGACAAGAUCACCAGGCUCCCCUCACUACGCCAUCGAUAUUAUCCAAAGAAAAAGUAAAGGUCGAUGCAACUUGGGUCCAGUCACUUCGCAACUCACUCCUAAAGGUUUGUGAACUGGAGCGCGACACAGCCCGCUAAGCAUUUUGACCGGUAUCCUAUCCGCUCAAACGAAACGCCUCCUUUUAUUAUAGUAGUAAUAAUCUUUUAUACUCUAGGCAUAACUCCUGAAAAGAAUUUUGGCAAGAGCACCACAAAUUUUGGCAAGUGCAACAGUUAUAAUCGUCACUCUUGUUCAGCUGCCGAAAUCCGUAACUUCUACUUGUUUUAUAGGUUGGAGUGCGGCAAGGGUGGCUCGCCGCCUUCAAGUGUCGAAAAAAUACUCACGUCGUUUUUUUGUAACCUUUUUCUUUUCCUGUCGAACACUUAUUUCUAACGUCUAAAUGACAUAAAGACCUCAACACUGUAGAGUUGUGGUGAAGUAGAAACAAAGAAAUAGCACAUAUACAACAAAUUUUCAUAGAGUUUUCAUCUACCAAAUUUACUCAGUAGUCAUAUGCGGGUCCGGAGCGUAAGUAGAAAACAUUAAACUGCACCCGAAAUCACGUGGCUGAAAUGCAAAGAUCUUCACCGCACAGUCAUGAUUGCGUCCAUUGUAUAAUAUAUAUAUAUAUAUAUAUAUAGACAAGUAUUGGUCAAUCGGUUCACAAAUGAAAAUGACAAUAAUAAAUAAUUGUAUAGCUAUAGUAUUGUUCAGCUUUAUUGAUUCUGAGAGAAAUAUACUGAGUGAUAUCGACAUUUUAAUUAGUGAGGAUGGUAUUACUUUGUAUAAAUACUUACCAAAUAAGAGAAAAAUAAUAAACGCAAAAAUGUUCAUCUUGAUUUUAUCUAUUCAAUUUCGUUGCAUUAUUAUACAACAGUUUGCCAGCUGUCUUAUUUUAAACAUGGAACCUUAUGUAACAUGUUGCGUCAUAAAUGUUAAAUAACGACAGUUGUAAUUGCAUUUCCUACACGUUGAACAAACAAAUACUAAUGUAUGAGGUUGCAUAUCAUCUGCUUCAAUACAGACGAACGGAAAACAUGUUGCUAGAGAGGAAGCGUUUACUUAUCGGUGUAUGUAAGCCGAAAAAUAUAUCAAUAGCUUCCAUCUUAGGUAUCGUUCAAUACACAGCGUAUGCAACUGAUGUACAUUCCAGAUUAAAUUUGUAAGUGCAGAAGUGUAAUUAUACACUCUUUGCAAUUUCGUACAGAACUAUCAUUCUCCGCCAUUGUGUCUCUUGCUAUAAGGCUAGUUCUUCUGGAGUCGCAGGCAGAAGUGUAUCUUUGUAUUAUUAUUUGGAUGUAAGAUUCUGAGUUUCUUGCACAACGAUACACUUAGAUAAUUGGCUUGUUUGCAGCCUCACUACAAUAUGAGACAAAACAAAAAGAAAUCUGUAAAAUGUAUAAUAAGGUAAGUAGUCUCGCCGAAAUUAGGUAAGUCUGAUGCCUGCAAUAAGCGAGGAACACCAAGCCCCAUGGAACUCAAUGUAACACUCAUAAUACUCAAUGUAACGAACGUCGGCAGACCUAUAUUGAAAGCCAGUUUUAACAAUACAGUGAAAUACUAAAACUGAGAAUAAAAUAAUUAUAGAGAUAUUCUUUUUUAUAUUUUAUUAAUGUAAGUUCCCUAUUCUGCUUAAACUUAGAGGCACUUCUCUUUACACAACAGUGAUCAACCAGCACCGUACCUUUACAUUUCCAUAGAAGCAAUUUCAGUGGACGUUUAUAUGUGUGAAUUGUUUGUCUGUGUGUGUGGUGUAUGUGUAUGCGUAUGUAUUUAUGCACCAUGUGCGUUAGUAUUUUUAUAAAACUAAAAGCUGUUCCAUACCACCAUUAUUAUUAUGAAAAUAGUGGCUAUAAAUCGUCAUUUCUAAAGAACAAAUUUCUAAUGUAUAUGUUUCAACAUUAUAUUCCGUCAAUGUUGGUGAUAUCGUAAGUUUAAGAAAGUGUGGAAUAAAGAAAAUGUAACAUGAUUCGUUUAAUUAUAUAUAUGCGUAAGACACAUUUUAGACAUACAACUUUAGAGCCUCAAUUAUAGCUAUAAAAUAAGCCACUCACGUUAUUAUUGUAUGGUUACCUUUAUUUAAUUAUGCAUUUGUAAUGUAACUACAAGUACAGCAGUGAAAAUUGCCUGAAAUUUCAUCUGUAAAGAGAAUAGAAUAGAAAAUUUAUUGAUACAGAGUGAAAGUAUUUUGAUGAGAUGCAUACACGAAUUUGCCGUCAUAUAAUAUUACAUUUAUUACCUAAUGUUAUUAUUUCCCACAUAAAUGAGUACGGUAUUUCCAGAAGAAAACUGGUACGGAUCACAAUAGUAAUGGGUAUAACCACCAGUGAAAUAUCGAUCUUUUCAUCUAUUCAAGUUCUUUGUUUUUGACAGAGAUGAAAUAGAAAUAGAACACUUUUCUUGUAAAAAGUGCUGUAUUUCUUAGUGAAAAUUGCUUGAGACCCGAAAACAACGAUGGAAUUUCAGAACAGAUAUAGUGUUGUCGUCAACCACUGACACUGAUGGAUGUAUAUCCCAUCCAUGAAUAAACAGUAGGUAACCCAAAGUUUAAACGUAGCAAUUAGUCCCCAAAGUUGCACGGACAAACACACAU
This is a long non-coding RNA of Octopus bimaculoides (California two-spot octopus), 3222 nucleotides long. RefSeq lists it as uncharacterized. NCBI's taxonomy places the organism in Eukaryota, Metazoa, Mollusca, Cephalopoda, Octopoda, Octopodidae. The record is from RefSeq and is a predicted model, not a curated record.